Molecule: ribosomal RNA, 563 nt
Filed under: uncultured bacterium
Lineage: Bacteria
Description: partial 16S ribosomal RNA
Rfam family: Bacterial small subunit ribosomal RNA
Source: RNAcentral
UGGGAAUAUUGCACAAUGGGCGAAAGCCUGAUGCAGCAACGCCGCGUGAGUGAUGAAGGCCUUCGGGUUGUAAAGCUCUGUCUUUUGGGACGAUAAUGACGGUACCAAAGGAGGAAGCCACGGCUAACUACGUGCCAGCAGCCGCGGUAAUACGUAGGUGGCAAGCGUUGUCCGGAUUUACGGGCGUAAAGGAUGCGUAGGCGGAUUUUUAAGUGAGAUGUGAAAACCCUAAGCUUAACUUGGGGACUGCAUUUCAUACUGGAAAUCUAGAGUGCGGGAGAGGAGAAUGGAAUUCCUAGUGUAGCGGUGAAAUGCGUAGAGAUUAGGAAGAACACCAGUGGCGAAGGCGAUUCUCUGGACCGUAACUGACGCUGAGGCAUGAAAGCGUGGGUAGCAAACAGGAUUAGAUACCCUGGUAGUCCACGCCGUAAACGAUGAGUACUAGGUGUAGGAGGUAUCGACCCCCUUCUGUGCCGCAGUUAACACAAUAAGUACUCCGCCUGGGAAGUACGAUCGCAAGAUUUAAAAACUCAAAGGAAUUGACGGGGGUCAUAGCUGUUUUU